Molecule: unclassified non-coding RNA, 276 nt
Organism: Erinaceus europaeus (western European hedgehog)
Lineage: Eukaryota; Metazoa; Chordata; Mammalia; Eulipotyphla; Erinaceidae
Gene: 7SK
Rfam family: 7SK RNA
About the family: 7SK was discovered as an abundant small nuclear RNA in the mid-70s but a possible function has only recently been suggested.
Source: Ensembl
GGAUGUGAGGGCGAUCUGGCUGUGACAUCUGUCACCCCACUGAUAACCAGGGUUGAGUCAGCUGAGUUGGGUGGCUAGGUGGGUGUCCCUUUCCUGUGCGCUCAGUCAACGAGCCAUGACCUUCCACAAACAGAGGUGCAGAGGUCUUUGGUCAAGCCAUUCACCUGCUAGAACCUCCAAGCAAGCAGGAUCUACUGCUGUGUUUAGUAACUGUGCCUAUAAAGAUAUCCCAGACAGUGCCCAGGCAAGUGUCUUGAACAUGUUAAGUUAUCCCAU